UACAGAGGUCUCAAGCGUUGUUCGGAUUCAUUGGGCGUAAAGGGCGCGUAGGCGGCGCGGUAAGUCGGGGGGGAAAUCUCGGAGCUUAACUCCGAAACUGCAUUCGAUACUGCCGUGCUUGAGGACUGGAGAGGAGACUGGAAUUUACGGUGUAGCGGUGAAAUGCGUAGAUAUCGUAAGGAAGACCAGUGGCGAAGGCGGGUCUCUGGACAGUUCCUGACGCUGAGGCACGAAGGUCAGGGGAGCAAACGGG
This 253-nucleotide ribosomal RNA is filed under the name uncultured bacterium. RNAcentral's name for it is "partial 16S ribosomal RNA". It matches the Rfam family "Bacterial small subunit ribosomal RNA", at positions 524 to 776 of the family's 1533-position model. The record is from RNAcentral.